This 240-nucleotide unclassified non-coding RNA is filed under the name soil metagenome. RNAcentral's name for it is "partial contains 5.8S ribosomal RNA, internal transcribed spacer 2, and large subunit ribosomal RNA". The record is from RNAcentral.
AACCAUAGAAACCUGCGGAGUACCUGCGGAGGGAUCAUUAUAGUAUAUGGAAUCUCCAUUCUAUAAACCCACUCUGCGUAUCUUGUAACUGUUGCUUCCAUGGGACUUGGUUCCGCCACACCGGCUUCACGGCUGGUGAGCGCCCAUGGAAGGAGAAGCAAAACUCUUCUUUGAAAUGUAGUCAGUCUGAACAAGUUUUUAUAAACGUUAAAACUUUUAGCAACGGAUCUCAGAUCGGAA